Molecule: ribosomal RNA, 254 nt
Filed under: uncultured bacterium
Lineage: Bacteria
Description: partial 16S ribosomal RNA
Rfam family: Bacterial small subunit ribosomal RNA
Source: RNAcentral
UACAGAGGUGGCAAGCGUUGUUCGGAAUUACUGGGCGUAAAGGGCGCGUAGGCGGCUAUCUAAGUCAGACGUGAAAUCCCCCGGCUUAACCUGGGAACUGCGUCUGAUACUGGACGGCUCGAGUAUGGGAGAGGGAUGUAGAAUUCCAGGUGUAGCGGUGAAAUGCGUAGAUAUCUGGAGGAAUACCGGUGGCGAAGGCGGCAUCCUGGACCAUUUACUGACGCUGAGGCGCGAAAGCUAGGGGAGCAAACGGG